UAAGUCCAAUCUUCUAAAUCAAUAGUCAGUUCCAAAUUUACUCUGAUUUUUUUUGGUGACUUUUAACCUACUCUGAUUAAACCCAAACAAAUUUAACUCCAAACAAAAAUCUAACAAAAAAAUUGGAAGAGAAAGAAGAGUGAGAAUGAAACCCUAGCAGAUCUACUCGCCGCCGCAGUAUUCAUCUCUUCGCCAUUGUCACCAUCAAGCUCGCCGUAGCGUCUAAGAUCAGAGGGAGAGUAACCGGCGACGCCCGCGACGCCAUCCUUGCCGAGGUCCAGGAGCAGGUUUCCAUUCUUAACUCCAGUUUCUCAUGGAAGGAGUCAGAUCGAGCCGCCGCCAAGCGCGCCACUCAUGCGCUCGCCGUUCUUGCCAAAACGAUCCUUCGGUGGUUGUGUCUUGUAGAGGAAGUGGUGAACGUGAAUGUCGAAGAAGGAGCUAUUCCUUCGGCGCGUCUCCUGAGAUCACGACACGGCAUAUGGAUAAGCAGAAUGAGAUCCUUAUGGAAGCCUACAGAUCAAUGCUCCAUGAAUCGCAAAAACUUCAGGUCGAAGAAGAAAUGCUUAUGCAUAAGCUCUAUGAUGUUAUGUAAGCUCAUGGUCUAACUAAAAAGGUAUCUUGAUCACUCAUCUCAUCUCAUCUCUUCCAUAAGAAUCUCAUUCUGCUUAUCCUCUCCCCUGAAGAAUGCAAGGUUAGGUUCCUUUUUCAGAUUCUCUUGUUCGCUUCUUCCCUUCCCUUCCCUUGAUUUAUUCCAUUGUCAGGAGCUGGAAUUCAUACACAAGAGUAGCAACACUAAUUCAUCAAUUGCUUGUUGGUUGUUACUUCUUUUAAAAUCUUUACCUUAUUGUAUUUAUGAAUCAUCAAACAGUUGGAGCAGAGGUGCAAGCAUUGGGUGUCAUAGUAAUGAUAACAGACCCUACCUCAAACAGCGACACUUUGCAGUCAGGAUUCCACUUUCCAUUACUCAUCUCUUUUGUUGAAUUUUAUUUAAUACUGUUGCUGACAAUUUUGGUUCAUCAAAGGUGGUGUGCUAUUUAAAUAAUUAUGGCAAGGAUUUCAAUGGUGGACUCUUUCGUUUCUAGGAUGGCCAGUCAAUGUCAAUUAUGCCAAUGGCUGGAGUUGCAAAUUUUGGGCUAACUAAACUUAGGGAAGUUGGAAGCUCUUUAUCACUUCAUACUCGUCUUGUGGGAACAUUUGGAUACAUGCCUCCAGUUGGAUCAGAAUGCUUCAACCAACUAAAGGUUGUUACGGCCGCAGCACCACAAUACUUCUGGCAAUCAAAUAAAAAAAAACAAACUACAAGAAGUCAUGGUUGGAUUAGCAGCAAAUGUUUUCACAUUCAUGUCCUCUCAAUGAAUCAAGCUAUGUAUUUCAAGAAGCUGGAAAAUAGGUGAAGUAAUACUUCACUUUUGAACCAUAUUGUAAAAUCAGUAAUCCAUGUUAACCUUGAGCAAAAAUUGUAAAUUUGUAACACUGUACACUGUUGUUUGUUUUGUGUAAAUGUGUAUUAUCCCACAUUAAUUUUGA
Molecule: RNA transcript, 1527 nt
Organism: Arachis stenosperma
Lineage: Eukaryota; Viridiplantae; Streptophyta; Magnoliopsida; Fabales; Fabaceae
Exons: 7
Source: RefSeq, a predicted model, not a curated record